CUAAAAUAUAUCAAGAACAGCGUGGCUCCAGUCAAAAUCUCAGCCGGUUCGGUGUGGCCGUAGUGUCGCCAUAUUGAAUUUCGCCAUUUUGGAAUACACAAAAUCGAGGCUUGGCAAAAUUCCAAGUCAAAGAAAGAGAUAUUACCGCAACCAAAUAUGGCUGCCACUUUCUAAUUAGAUAUGAGAUGGCAAGGAACAGAUGGAGAUGGAAAAACGUGUUCUGGAACUUUCUACCGAACAGUUAUACACAAAAUUUAGCAGAAAAAGUUUGGUAAAUUCCAUUUUUGAACACUGAAAACAAGAUUGAUCGUUUUGAAAAUGCACUUUUGCUAGCUCAUGCAGUUCUAGAUGGCUUAGUUGUCUUAUCCACGAUCAAGGAAAACUGCCACGUGCAAUGAAGAACCACAUUACUGGAGAAAAAAUUCAUUUUCAGAAUAAUUUUCAUUUGAAUUUCACUGUCACAUUUUGUUGAUUUUUGAAUAAAACUUUGAAGAACCUGAUAAAUAUU
Molecule: long non-coding RNA, 508 nt
Organism: Eupeodes corollae
Lineage: Eukaryota; Metazoa; Arthropoda; Insecta; Diptera; Syrphidae
Exons: 2
Source: RefSeq, a predicted model, not a curated record